CGUGUAGGCGGUUUGGUAAGUCGGACGUGAAAGCUCCUGGCUCAACUGGGAGAGGUCGUUCGAAACUGCCAGACUUGAGGACGGUAGAGGAGAGUGGAAUUCCGGGUGUAGUGGUGAAAUGCGUAGAUAUCCGGAGGAACACCAGUGGCGAAGGCGGCUCUCUGGGCCGUACCUGACGCUAAGACGCGAAAGCUAGGGUAGCAAACAGGAUUAGAUACCCUGGUAGUCC
This 229-nucleotide ribosomal RNA is filed under the name uncultured bacterium. RNAcentral describes it as "partial 16S ribosomal RNA". It matches the Rfam family "Bacterial small subunit ribosomal RNA", at positions 568 to 796 of the family's 1533-position model. The record is from RNAcentral.